Molecule: transfer-messenger RNA, 262 nt
Filed under: Stenotrophomonas sp.
Lineage: Bacteria; Pseudomonadati; Pseudomonadota; Gammaproteobacteria; Lysobacterales; Lysobacteraceae
Description: partial transfer-messenger RNA
Rfam family: transfer-messenger RNA
About the family: Bacterial tmRNA, also known as 10Sa RNA or SsrA, is named for its dual tRNA and mRNA-like properties. Its role is to liberate the mRNA from a stalled ribosome.
Source: RNAcentral
UGCCAACGACGACAACUACGCUCUCGCCGCUUAAGGCGUAAGCCCCGAACCCACUUGUGCCCGUGCUCGUGGAUGUAGGGUCAUUAUCACGGAACCGGCCGUGACGGCUGCCUGUCAGUCACGGCUUAACCAAAACAGGCUGGUCCUGGGGUGCGCUUUGCACACCGUGCUGCCACAGGACGAGACCCAACGGUGAGCUAAGCAUGUAGUGCCGGGGAUGGAGUGCCUUCGGACGGCGGUUCAAUUCCGCCCACCUCCACCA